RNAcentral lists this ribosomal RNA (577 nucleotides) under uncultured cyanobacterium. Its description in RNAcentral is "bacterial SSU rRNA". It matches the Rfam family "Bacterial small subunit ribosomal RNA", at positions 152 to 761 of the family's 1533-position model. Lineage: Bacteria; Bacillati; Cyanobacteriota. The record is from RNAcentral.
GGAAACGACUGCUAAUACCCAAUAUGCAGGAAUGUGAAAUAAAUUUUGCCUGAAGAGGAGCUCGCGUCCGAUUAGUUAGUUGGUGAGGUAAGAGCUUACCAAGGCGGCGAUCGGUAGCUGGUCUGAGAGGACGAGCAGCCACACUGGGACUGAGACACGGCCCAGACUCCUACGGGAGGCAGCAGUGGGGAAUUUUCCGCAAUGGGCGCAAGCCUGACGGAGCAAUACCGCGUGAGGGAGGAAGGCUUUUGGGUUGUAAACCUCUUUUCUCAAGGAAGAACACAAUGACGGUACUUGAGGAAUCAGCAUCGGCUAACUCCGUGCCAGCAGCCGCGGUAAUACGGAGGAUGCAAGCGUUAUUCGGAAUUAUUGGGCGUAAAGCGUCCGCAGGUGGUGUUUCAAGUCUGCUGUCAAAGACCGAAGCUUAACUUCGGGUAGGCGGGGGAAACUGAAACACUAGAGUACGGUAGGGGUAGAGGGAAUUUCCAGUGUAGCGGUGAAAUGCGUAGAGAUUGGAAAGAACACCAGUGGCGAAGGCGCUCUACUGGACCGUAACUGACACUCAGGGACGAAAGCU